CAGUCGCCACGGGAAUACAGAGGGUGCGAGCGUUAAUCGGAUUUACUGGGCGUAAAGCGUGCGUAGGCGGCUUUUUAAGUCGGAUGUGAAAUCCCUGAGCUUAACUUAGGAAUUGCAUUCGAUACUGGGAAGCUAGAGUAUGGGAGAGGAUGGUAGAAUUCCAGGUGUAGCGGUGAAAUGCGUAGAGAUCUGGAGGAAUACCGAUGGCGAAGCCAGCCAUCUGGCCUAAUACUGACGCUGAGGUACGAAAGCAUGGGGAGCAAACAGGAUUAGAUACCCCCGUAGUCCCUGUCUCUUAUAC
This 301-nucleotide ribosomal RNA is filed under the name uncultured bacterium. RNAcentral's name for it is "partial 16S ribosomal RNA". It matches the Rfam family "Bacterial small subunit ribosomal RNA", at positions 509 to 807 of the family's 1533-position model. The record is from RNAcentral.